GGCAGGCUUAACACAUGCAAGUCGAACGGGCACUUCGGUGCUAGUGGCAGACGGGUGAGUAACGCGUGGGAACGUGCCUUUCGGUUCGGAAUAAUCCAGGGAAACUUGGACUAAUACCGGAUACGCCCUUCGGGGGAAAGAUUUAUCGCCGAAAGAUCGGCCCGCGUCUGAUUAGCUAGUUGGUGAGGUAAAGGCUCACCAAGGCGACGAUCAGUAGCUGGUCUGAGAGGAUGAUCAGCCACACUGGGACUGAGACACGGCCCAGACUCCUACGGGAGGCAGCAGUGGGGAAUAUUGGACAAUGGGCGAAAGCCUGAUCCAGCCAUGCCGCGUGAGUGAUGAAGGCCUUAGGGUUGUAAAGCUCUUUUGUCCGGGAAGAUA
RNAcentral lists this ribosomal RNA (381 nucleotides) under Allobosea sp. CaGH2. RNAcentral's name for it is "bacterial SSU rRNA". It matches the Rfam family "Bacterial small subunit ribosomal RNA", at positions 41 to 450 of the family's 1533-position model. The record is from RNAcentral. Lineage: Bacteria; Pseudomonadati; Pseudomonadota; Alphaproteobacteria; Hyphomicrobiales; Alloboseaceae.